UACAGGGGGUGCAAACGUUGCUCGGAAUUAUUGGGCGUAAAGCGCGCGUAGGCGGUAUCGCAAGUCGGAUGUGAAAUCCCUCGGCUUAACUGAGGAAGUGCAUCCGAAACUGCGAAACUAGAGUACCAAAGAGGAUCGCGGAAUUCCCGGUGUAGAGGUGAAAUUCGUAGAUAUCGGGAGGAACACCAGCGGCGAAGGCGGCGAUCUGGGUGGAAACUGACGCUGAGGCGCGAAAGUGUGGGGAGCAAACAGG
Molecule: ribosomal RNA, 253 nt
Filed under: uncultured prokaryote
Description: partial 16S ribosomal RNA
Rfam family: Bacterial small subunit ribosomal RNA
Source: RNAcentral